RNAcentral lists this non-coding RNA (26 nucleotides) under Cricetulus griseus (Chinese hamster). Lineage: Eukaryota; Metazoa; Chordata; Mammalia; Rodentia; Cricetidae. The record is from RNAcentral.
GGAAUACAAACAUGCAGGCUGAACAC